GCGGUCGUGGCGGAACUGGUAGACGCGCUAGCUUGAGGUGCUAGUGGGGCGACCCGUGGAGGUUCGAGUCCUCUCGACCGCA
RNAcentral lists this transfer RNA (82 nucleotides) under Rhodoplanes elegans. It matches the Rfam family "tRNA". Rfam says of the family: Transfer RNA (tRNA) molecules are approximately 80 nucleotides in length. Their secondary structure includes four short double-helical elements and three loops (D, anti-codon, and T loops). Further hydrogen bonds mediate the characteristic L-shaped molecular structure. tRNAs have two regions of fundamental functional importance: the anti-codon, which is responsible for specific mRNA codon recognition, and the 3' end, to which the tRNAs corresponding amino acid is attached (by aminoacyl-tRNA synthetases). tRNAs cope with the degeneracy of the genetic code in two manners: having more than one tRNA (with a specific anti-codon) for a particular amino acid; and 'wobble' base-pairing, i.e. permitting non-standard base-pairing at the 3rd anti-codon position. RNAcentral also lists the same sequence under 6 other names. Lineage: Bacteria; Pseudomonadati; Pseudomonadota; Alphaproteobacteria; Hyphomicrobiales; Nitrobacteraceae. The record is from Rfam by way of RNAcentral.